This 232-nucleotide ribosomal RNA is filed under the name uncultured bacterium. RNAcentral's name for it is "partial 16S ribosomal RNA". It matches the Rfam family "Bacterial small subunit ribosomal RNA", at positions 99 to 334 of the family's 1533-position model. The record is from RNAcentral.
CGGACGGGUGAGGAAUACAUCGGAAUCUACUCUGUCGUGGGGGAUAACGUAGGGAAACUUACGCUAAUACCGCAUACGACCUACGGGUGAAAGCAGGGGAUCUUCGGACCUUGCGCGAUUGAAUGAGCCGAUGUCGGAUUAGCUAGUUGGCGGGGUAAAGGCCCACCAAGGCGACGAUCCGUAGCUGGUCUGAGAGGAUGAUCAGCCACACUGGAACUGAGACACGGUCCAG